AAACCGUUACCAUUAUUGUAAC
Molecule: microRNA, 22 nt
Filed under: Petromyzon marinus (sea lamprey)
Lineage: Eukaryota; Metazoa; Chordata; Hyperoartia; Petromyzontiformes; Petromyzontidae
Description: Pma-Mir-451_5p (mature (guide))
Source: RNAcentral